AUGGUUUGCAGGAUUUUUCCAAAACUGGAUAUCUGGGUUUGUCCCAAGUCGUCCUACCCCUGCUACCGCUACAAUAGGUCACCAAUGGAUUCGUCAUGGAAUGAUGGACGUGGGAACUCAGACCUUGACCAAUUCAUAUUCAACGAGUUCAUCAUCUCAUCGGAUUUGGACGAUGAGGGUGCUGAAAUGAUGAUGAUGAUGCGCAUCCAAGAGGAGUUGGAGAAGGCAGAGGAGCACGUCCUCAACUUCAAGGUUUCAAUCAAGACUUGGAGAGUUAUUCCCCAUGAUAGGAUUGCUAGUGCACGACUUCUGUACAUGGACUACUUCACAUUGACCCGACAUUCCCUAAAAGUUUCUUUCGUCGUUGCUACCAAAUGA
This 378-nucleotide ribosomal RNA is filed under the name Triticum aestivum (bread wheat). RNAcentral describes it as "partial small subunit ribosomal RNA". The record is from RNAcentral. Lineage: Eukaryota; Viridiplantae; Streptophyta; Magnoliopsida; Poales; Poaceae.